CACCAGACUCCUACGGGAGGCAGCAGUGGGGAAUAUUGCACAAUGGGGGAAACCCUGAUGCAGCGACGCCGCGUGAGUGAAGAAGUAUUUCGGUAUGUAAAGCUCUAUCAGCAGGAAAGAAAAUGACGGUACCUGACUAAGAAGCCCCGGCUAACUACGUGCCAGCAGCCGCGGUAAUACGUAGGGGGCAAGCGUUAUCCGGAUUUACUGGGUGUAAAGGGAGCGUAGACGGUGAAGCAAGUCUGAAGUGAAAGGCGGGGGCUCAACCCCCGGACUGCUUUGGAAACUGUUUGACUGGAGUGCAGGAGAGGUAAGUGGAAUUCCUAGUGUAGCGGUGAAAUGCGUAGAUAUUAGGAAGAACACCGGUGGCGAAGGCGGCUUGCUGGACUGUAACUGACGCUGAGUCACGAAAGCGUGGGGAGCGAACAGGAUUAGAUACCCCGGUACCU
RNAcentral lists this ribosomal RNA (449 nucleotides) under uncultured bacterium. RNAcentral describes it as "bacterial SSU rRNA". It matches the Rfam family "Bacterial small subunit ribosomal RNA", at positions 329 to 795 of the family's 1533-position model. The record is from RNAcentral.